Long non-coding RNA from Felis catus (domestic cat), 2066 nucleotides. RefSeq lists it as uncharacterized. The record is from RefSeq and is a predicted model, not a curated record. The transcript is spliced from 3 exons. NCBI's taxonomy places the organism in Eukaryota, Metazoa, Chordata, Mammalia, Carnivora, Felidae.
CCCACCGCCACACACAGCGGCCCUGGCCUCUGUGCCCCUCCUAGGGAAAUGUGUGGACAGAGACGUUCGUCACGCAGUUAUUUGUAAGACGAACCUCAAUUUUCAACUGUUGGGGAACAGUCUGACCAUGGCCCAAAAUACGUCCCAGAAGACUACGGGUGUUAGGCCGGGUCACGGCCGGUAGAUGUAUCUGGAGCUGAAAGAAAGCUCUUGGGACCGGGGACCUCUUGAGCUGAAAAGGAGGCUCCCAGAGGUGAGGGCCUGGUGGCCAUAGACGUCACCGCGCGCCUCUGGGCUCCUCCCAAGGGCCGGGUCCCCAGGAGUCGAGAGCAAAGUAGAGAUGGGACCACGGAGGAGACACACGAGGCCCAAUCCAGACUGCAGUGCGGGUCACCAGGAAGCAAGUCACUGAGGUCUCAAAAGACCAGGAGGACCCCGCCAGGUGAAGAAGGCUCCCAGCUGACUGCAGCAAACAGGGUGAGGGCCGCUCUGGGAGGCAUGACGCUCCGGGAGAGAAAGCACGGACUUUGCAGGCUGAGUUGAGAUCCCAGCACCAUCACUUACGGUAGUAAGUGAUCCAGCUGAUCUGGAACAAGCUGUUAACCUCCCUGGGGCUUACUUUUCUCAUCUGUGAAAUGGGCAUUCGUGAUCCCCAUCUGAGCAUUAAGAGAGGCCGAGGACGAGAAGGUACAGUCCCUGCCUGCUCAUGACGAGCACUCGACAGGUAUUAGUUGCCAACACUUACUAUUGGCAGGGCUGGAGGGGAAGUGGGGCACUCUGUCUCCAAACCCGUGAUGCUCCCACCGAACCGCAUGAUGGGAGGGACAGAAAGAGUGGGAGGGCAGGAGGCACAGAAGCCCCAGGCGGCUUCCGGGAGAGUGCAGGGCAGGGGAGCGGUUGCCCCUGUGCAAGUUCUGUGAUCAAACUUGAGGAUGAUCUUGCGACCUCUCUUGGCCAAAUCUGCCAACCGGAACCCUGAAGCUGUGAAGUGCCUGGCUGGAGGGAGUCCCCCUGUGUGCCCUUCGCCCCGUGUGACAGGAGGAGCACUGGCCUGGGGUUCAGGCCCCUGGAUUCACAUCCUGAUCCCACCGUAUGUUACGAGUCCUCAGGCAAGUACCUUGGAGCUUGAUCAGACCUCACGCCCGGUGCAAAUUAGGAUCCCCUGGAGACCUAUCAAAACCGAACAAACCAAAGGAGGCCCAGGCCCCCAGAGAACCUCGUUUCAUUGAUGAGGCUGGGGCACAGGGAUCACCUUUUCUCAAACUUGGCUCUAGCUCGGAGUCACCUGGGGCAUUUUAAAGACCACUGAUACCCGGGUCCCACCCCAGCGAUUCUGGCAUAGUUGCUACGGCGGGAAGCGUGGACAGUGGCGUUUUCAAAGCCGCGCAGGUGAUCCUAAUACGCAGCAAGAACACAUCUCACCCGGAGGCGUCUCCACAGCAGGCUUGCAUUGCACUGGCUAAUUGCCGGGCUUUGUCAGACUUCCGUUCCUGCUCAGAAAGGGACACCUCAAGAGAGAGCCCAGAGGGCCCAGAGGCCAGCAAUGCCCAGCGCAGCUUGCGAAGCUGAGGCCCGGGUUGGGCAGGCGGGCUGGCUGCAGGGAUUCCUGCUGGGUGCCUGUGCCCUCCCCGCUCCUGGCGAGGACAGUCGUCCCCCUGGAGGCUCCUCGGUCCCUCCUAGAAACGUUCCCCGGCAUCCAGAAUCCUGAGAGCGCCCGAGAUGGGAAGAGCCUGCCGUCUGCUCCGGGAGGCCUCUGUGAAGGCUGAGAACAACUUAACAGCACUCGAGAGAAUCCAUUUAAAGGGGGAAGAAGAAAGCAAAUGUGGACACUGGAGCUCUUCAGUGUGAACAUGGAUCUCAAGCUGUUGGAACAUGAACAGUACAGGUUCAUUUAUUCAAUCCCAAAUACUAGUUCAGUGUCAGAGUGUCUGCAUGUUGAUGGCACUCUUCUCCAAAGAACCGACUCACAUGGGUUUAUAUGAAUGGAAGUGUUAAAAAAAAAUCAACUGAGGGUGCCUGGGUGGCUCAGUGGGUGAAGCGUCCGACUUUGGUGCAGGUCAUGAUCU